AAUAAGACUAUUUUUCAGUUUUUUAUACAAUGUUUUAGCUAUUCGUCUUAUUUGAAAUUCUUUUGUGAUUAAUAUCUUUGUUCUUACUAGAUGAUAAAACAUGAAUAGUACUUUAUGCGUAACUAAUUUUUUAAAGUUUUUUACAAAUUUUUCAAAUAAGACAAAUGGUCAAACGUUGGACAUGAAAAA
This 189-nucleotide microRNA precursor is filed under the name Oryza brachyantha (malo sina). RNAcentral's name for it is "MIR812 microRNA precursor family". It matches the Rfam family "MIR812 microRNA precursor family". The record is from Rfam by way of RNAcentral. Lineage: Eukaryota; Viridiplantae; Streptophyta; Magnoliopsida; Poales; Poaceae.